UCUCUGCCCAAUGAUUUUUUAAAUGGCCGCAGUAUUUUGACUGUGCAAAGGUAGCAUAAUCAAUAGUUUUUUAAUUGAAAACUGGAAUGAAAGAGUUGAUAAAAUAUAUACUUUAUUUAAUAAAAUUUUAGAAUUUAUAAUUUUAGUUAAAAUACUAAAAUAAAUUUAUGGGACGAGAAGACCCUUUAGAAUUUUAUAUAAUUAAUUUUAUUUAAUUUAAUAAUAAUUUAUUUAGAAUUAAUUUUAUUUUAUUGGGAGGAUAAUUAAAUUUAUUGAACUUUAAUAUUAUAAUUAACAAUAAUUAUUGAAUUAAUGAUUUUAUAAAUUAAUAAAUAGAUUAAAUUACCUAAGGGAUAACAGCGUAAUAUUUUUGGAGAGUUCAUAUUGAUAAAAAUGUUUGCGACCUCGAUGUUGAAUUAAAAUAAAAUUUAAAUGUAGGUGUUUAAAAUUUAAGUCUGUUCGACUUUUAAAAUUUUACAUGAUUUGAGUUCAAAUC
This 496-nucleotide ribosomal RNA is filed under the name Goniozus (Parasierola) sp. MC-2010. RNAcentral describes it as "partial 16S ribosomal RNA". The stretch from base 353 to 496 matches the Rfam family "Archaeal large subunit ribosomal RNA", at positions 2542 to 2686 of the family's 2987-position model. The record is from RNAcentral. Lineage: Eukaryota; Metazoa; Arthropoda; Insecta; Hymenoptera; Bethylidae.